Molecule: long non-coding RNA, 210 nt
Filed under: Elaeis guineensis (African oil palm)
Lineage: Eukaryota; Viridiplantae; Streptophyta; Magnoliopsida; Arecales; Arecaceae
Description: long non-coding RNA (EGUI_LNC047940)
Source: RNAcentral
UGGACGAGGAGGAGUCCUUCUCUAAGAAGGAACUCCAUGCUAAAAUAAAUAAGGGACGCCCACUUAUUUGUGAGUUGAAAUGGAAGAGUCCAUUUCAUAUUGAACACUUGAUUCCUUCCAUUAUUUCUACGCAUUUCCUUAAAUCCUCAUGACAUAUGAUGGUGCUUGGGAUAUGGGGCAUGGAAGAGGAGGAAGAGUCCUUCUCUUGAA